AGUCACUGACAUUAGAUACCCCGGUAGUCCAGGGUGUAAACGCUGCAGACUUGGUGUUGGAAGCCCUUUGGGGGCAUUCAGUGCCGGAGAGAAGUUGUUAAGUCUGCUACUUGGGAGUACGUCCGCAAGGAUGAAACUUAAAGGAAUUGGCGGGGAGCACCGCAGCGGGAGGAGCGUGCGGUUUAAUUGGAUCCAACACCGUAAAACUCACCAGGGAAGACUGUUACAUGAAAGCCGAGAUGAAGACUUUGCUAGAUUUUCAG
RNAcentral lists this ribosomal RNA (263 nucleotides) under uncultured archaeon. Its description in RNAcentral is "partial 16S ribosomal RNA". It matches the Rfam family "Archaeal small subunit ribosomal RNA", at positions 718 to 982 of the family's 1478-position model. The record is from RNAcentral.